RNAcentral lists this ribosomal RNA (253 nucleotides) under uncultured bacterium. RNAcentral describes it as "partial 16S ribosomal RNA". It matches the Rfam family "Bacterial small subunit ribosomal RNA", at positions 524 to 776 of the family's 1533-position model. The record is from RNAcentral.
UACGUAGGGGGCAAGCGUUGUCCGGAAUCAUUGGGCGUAAAGCGCGUGUAGGCGGCUUGGUAAGUCCGCUCUGAAAGCCCGGGGCUCAACCCCGGGAGGCGGGUGGAUACUGUCAAGCUCGAGUCCGGAAGAGGCGAGUGGAAUUCCUGGUGUAGCGGUGAAAUGCGCAGAUAUCAGGAAGAACACCAACGGCGAAGGCAGCUCGCUGGGACGGUACUGACGCUGAGGAGCGAAAGCAUGGGGAGCGAACAGG